Transfer RNA from Clostridiales bacterium PH28_bin88, 73 nucleotides. It matches the Rfam family "tRNA". Rfam says of the family: Transfer RNA (tRNA) molecules are approximately 80 nucleotides in length. Lineage: Bacteria; Bacillati; Bacillota; Clostridia; Eubacteriales. The record is from Rfam.
GCCUCGGUAGCUCAGUUGGUAGAGCAGAGGACUGAAAAUCCUCGUGUCGGCGGUUCAAUUCCGCCCUGAGGCA